This is a long non-coding RNA of Lynx canadensis (Canada lynx), 2817 nucleotides long. RefSeq lists it as uncharacterized. Lineage: Eukaryota; Metazoa; Chordata; Mammalia; Carnivora; Felidae. The transcript has 5 exons. The record is from RefSeq and is a predicted model, not a curated record.
CGUGCGUGCGUCUGCAGUCACUCAGUCUGGCGCUCUGUUACGGUGGCCCUCGAAGACAAAGCAACGUGCGAGAAGCGCAUUAGCCUGAUUCCUGCCAACAGCCAUAAAGGAAAACUUGAACAUGGGUCUGCCUGGCUCCUUAGCCUGUGCUUUUUGGACAAAUGAUUCUAAGCUCAGCUCCUCUGUCUGGGCAGGGACAGACCAGGCUUUCCGGACUGCUGACGGUCUUCUGUUGAGGAUCCGAGUCGGGCAGAACUGCACCAGUCUGCUGCUUCUGCACGCGAGCAGGGAUGCCUGUGAACUUGGGCAUUGCAGCAGGGGCAUGAAAGGAGAAUCCGGGGCAGUCCUUCGCAGAGGUUGGUGGUCCUACGAAUUCCCCAGGUGGGAUCGUUAACACAUUGAACCAGGAUGUCUGGGUGUGGGUAAGAAUUUGCGCUUGUAACAGCUUUCUCAGCCAAACACACUUAAAUAGUGUCUUUAUUUGGGGCUUUCAUUUCUCUUGAGUUUGUGGAAAUGAAAGAAAACCACACACACAAACCUCUUAGAUGAAGACAAAGUUUUAUUCUAAAAAUAGAUCUCAGUAACAAUGAAAUACCAAAAGCUGGUCAUUAUAAGAAAAAGAAAAAAAGAGGUAAAAAAUUUGCUUAAAAUUUUCCUCCUCAAAAAUACAAAAUUCUCACUGUACUAUAUUGCGAACUCUCAUUUAUCUGUAUGCAAAUUAACUUUAUCCAAAGACAUUUAAAGUCACAGAUUGGAUUCUAAUGUAUCUUCAAGUAAAUACAUUCUCUGAGAAUGCAAUGAAAUAUUUAAACAUAAUUGGGAUAUAAAUUUAUGCUUAGGGAAACAGUGGUUCAUGUUACCACUUCCCUCUAUUUUUGCAGAUAACCAAAAAAAGUGACUGCACCCCACUACUGGUAUUUGAAGGUAGCAGAGAGAAAACAUUAACUACAUUAUUUCUAUCUUUAAAGGCAUAUAAUGACCUGUAGUACUUAAAAAAAGUGGUUUCACAUCUUCAAAGUGCUAGAGAAGCAAGUAUCAGGGAAGACAAGGUUCGACCUCAAGUACUGAAGAAUGCAGAAGACAAAAGGACGAAAAGGUAAAAGGCCCCCAUCACUGUAUCCAUCAAAGUGGUUUAAAGACCAGGUAGGCAAGUUACACAGUCAGCCCACCUCUCUGUCCUCACCACACUACCCAUGGUCACCACCUCAGUUGGCUGCACAGUGACUAGGAAGGAUUGUCCCGUAUCAAAAUUCUUGACAUUCUCUGAAGGCCAAAAGCUGGUCCCAGAAGGGCCAUCCUCUUCAGUGUAGACGCACUGUCAUCAGGACAGCUUAGCUUGUUGGCAGAAAGUGGUGGUACUUUACUUUGCGUAGUCAUUUAGUAUGACUGAAACAGCCUUUUUUUUGUCAAAACUUGACCGUGAGUUGUAAACUCGAAAACUGAACACCCAAACAUAAGUUGACUGAUACUGGUGUCCCGACAAUACCGUGCUUUUUCUGUUAACCUAAUGCAGCCUAAAGUGCCCCUCUACAGGAGAGGAGGGGCCUAAAGAAUAAGAAAAGUUUCUGGUCUUAAAAAUUGCUUAAGGAUUUGUAUUUGGAAUAAAGGUUUUUUAGUAUAUCCCCAAAUCAGAUAAAAUCAACAGUGCACAAAAAUACAGCAUCUUCCUGUAGGUCAGUAGCCUGAGGGGUGCCCUCCUAUCCCUGGAUCGAUCCACACAGCCUUCUAGAACUCUAGAGAAAUACCACAGGGGCUUAUGUUAGUAUGUUUACACUACAUUAAACCAUCCUACGACUCAACCUACAGUUAACCGGUGCGUAUGAAACAGCGCAGUUUCCAGCAGUGGCAACACUCACGGUAGGAAGGUAAGCGGACGAGAUCGUGAACACGCUGCUACGACGUGCAGAAAUGAGAGAGGGAAAAGACAGACUAAGUGCCACAGAAGCCGUAACGAUGACACAAGCUCUGACAGGGCUCAGCCACACGUUCUCGUGCUGGGGGCGGGGUGGUGCAUUUUGUUUCUCACCCAAGCAUGAAGCUUUGAAACUAAAGUUAUGUCGGAGACCUGAUUUACUCGGAAUUUCUGCGGUGUGGCUUUAGAGCAGAGCCGGCUCUGGGGAGCAGUGAAGGUCUGUGUCGUCGUCAGUACGUGCCGUCCCAGUGAGUUACUCCCCCGGCGUGACCAAGACCACAAGAAGGAGAACGGCACUGGUCUGUGUUUUUAGAAGUGACUGUAACCACUGCACAUGCUCAUUUAAAAACCGAAACCAAACUCUUCAGUAAUCCUGAGGAAUCUUUACAUGCGUAUAACGUACAACGUACUAUAUAAACAUGAUCUGCGUAUACUGUUUCCAAGGAGAGUCAUCCAAAUUCAUCGAUAGGGCUGUACUGAUCUUCCCAUUGGUGCCUGGAGUCCCUUAAAUGAUGGCAUCGUGUUCAUCGCUGUAAUCAAAAGAGGACCUGAAGCCAAGCAAGCACGUGGGAAGGUGCCCAGAAGUGCCGCUCCUGCACCAAACCCCACCCCUGCACGCUUCUGUCACCGCGGGUAACCUUUUCAUGCUCACUGCUACAACUGCUACGUGGGGAACGUCUCCAGUUUUGAGCGGGACAGACAAAUCCAGCGUUCUGUAAGAACUCGAACUUCAGAGCGGCUCUCGGCUUCUAAAUGUGCCGUCCCGUAGCACUAAGAAAAAGGCGCUGUGGUCCGUGGACGGUAAGGUGCACCCUAACUUCGGAGACGUGCCGUAGAGGGGGAACAAAACGAAAGCAGCGCGGACUUUCACUCGAGUCCGUGAGGUACUUUCUCUGGGGCUCUGU